UAUGAGAAAGAAAAACAUUUAUUCGCAGCGUCCAAAAAUCCAAAUUGUAAUUUAAUUUUUCUUGGAUUUAUCUAUCGUCAAUUGUUCACUGAUUCACUCUUUAUUCCGUAUCGGUUCCACUCGGGAAAACCAACAACAGUCUUUCGGUUCUGGCUGGGUCAUACCUGACGGUUUGAUGUCUAUGGCGCAUAUUCUGGUGGUGUCGUUUUCAACAUAACGGCGCCGUUUUAAACUUAACCGGAGUAGUCUUUAACCAUAAUCUCAAACUUCUACUUGCGUAGUUUCCUUUUUCUCGCGAACGGAAACACCGACGCCGUGAUGACGGAGUCCACUCCCACGAUCACUCCGUCUCCCCCCGUCCCGGCGUCGAGAUUGAGCCAACUGACGGAAUCGCUCAAGCUCGAGCACCAGCUCCUCCGUGCACGGUUCGAGCAAUACAAGAAGACGGUCCGUUCCAAUCACCGUUCCAUGGAGAAAGAGGUCUCUAGGAGAUUUGGCUGAUAACAAUUGGUCCAAAAGAGGUCCUUGUUUCUCGAUAGCAAGGUCUCAAACGAAAGGUUUUAUUUGAACUACAGCCGUGGGAUGCUUUAGUUCAUCAGUUUAAACAAGAAUUUUGCAAGUUAUAUGGCAUGACAAUGGAGUCGUUACUGAACAUCUACUUACAAGCAGGCUUGUCUGCACUGAAAGCUCCGCAUCCAUCAAAUCUCUAUUAAAAACUUGAUGUUUUUAAUGUCUAUUUAAAAUAAAAGAAGAGAAUAAAGUAGAGGUUAAAAUUAAUGACCAUAGUGUGACUCUUAUUCUGGUCUGAGUUUGUACCUUGACAUGACCGAAAUAUGGUUUUGAAGAAGGUUGUACCAAGGAGGACCCGCUCUCACAAGAGAGCUAACGGAAGCUAGCUUUGCCUUUACCGUACUCUAAGAAGCACCAUUCAAAGCUUGUUUGCUAUAUUUCCAAAGAGCUAAUGGACACAGAGAAUCCACAGGUGUUUCCCAAUGGCUACGUCUACAGCACCAAGGCUCUCAAGGAAAUGGCGGACAAGAGCGGAGGUGAAGUAAAAUGUACAAGGACAGGGCUUAUCUGCAAAUACACGGACUUAGUUAAGGCAUAUAUAUAUAUAUAUCAUGAACCUAGUUGCUCAUAAUCCUCACUUUCGUUUGCUUUAAUAUGAACUGAUGACAACAGAAGUGAGGUCAGUAUUCAGACCAAAACGAAAUGAAUUUCCAACUUUCUCCAUUGCUAGCUCCUGUAAAUAUGCAUUUACAAAUAAACUUUGCAUUCUAGAAAAAAGUUAUUUCUUUUGUAUCUCAGGUUAUGUACUCAUUUCAAUUCUAUAACAAUGUUCUAGUCAGCACUGA
This is a long non-coding RNA of Brassica napus (rape), 1355 nucleotides long. RefSeq lists it as uncharacterized. The record is from RefSeq and is a predicted model, not a curated record. NCBI's taxonomy places the organism in Eukaryota, Viridiplantae, Streptophyta, Magnoliopsida, Brassicales, Brassicaceae. The transcript has 3 exons.